UAACGUGUAAUGUGUGUGUCCCUAAA
Molecule: small RNA, 26 nt
Filed under: Bombyx mori (domestic silkworm)
Lineage: Eukaryota; Metazoa; Arthropoda; Insecta; Lepidoptera; Bombycidae
Description: ovarian small RNA-5692
Source: RNAcentral